RNAcentral lists this long non-coding RNA (384 nucleotides) under Gallus gallus (chicken). RNAcentral describes it as "long non-coding RNA NONGGAT007178". Lineage: Eukaryota; Metazoa; Chordata; Aves; Galliformes; Phasianidae. The record is from RNAcentral.
UUUUAACGCAGCAAGUCCUUGCUCAACUGUUGUCUCGUUGUUUGUGCAUUUAGGGCAUUAAAUCGUUACUUCUUCCGCGUUGGAUGAUUAGAAAGCACUGGCCUGAAGGGAACUGAUGAAAUCUGCUUCCUUCUGACAGUUAAAAGGAGGGGAGGAGGGGGGAGAAUUCACCGUCAGGGUACUACCGCGGGCAGGGAGGGCCCUCAGGGCAGCCAAACGCCUCAGGGCCGCCGGCGCGAGCGGAGCCGUUACCCCGCGAUGAGCCGUGAGCGCGAGGGUCGGAGCGGCACCGCCUGAACGAGCGGAGGGGGCUCCCCAGCUGCGCUAUUUUUACGACGCCUCUGAAAGCACUCCUGUCUUGGCCACACAAAUGAGAAGAAAUGC